CUCCGUUAAAUCCGGCGAUUCAAUCGCUAGACUGCGGUGGAUACUACCAGGCUAGGGGGCGGGAGAGGUCGACGGUAGUCCUGGGGUAGGGGUGAAAUCCUAUAAUCCCGGGAGGACCACCAGUGGCGAAGGCGGUCGACUAGAACGCGCCCGACGGUGAUGGACGAAAGCUGGGGGAGCGAACCGGAUUAGAUACCCGGGUAGUCCCAGCUGUAAACGAUGCAGGCUAGGUGUUGGAACGGCUACGGGCCGUUCCGGUGCCGCAGGGAAGCUAUUAAGCCUGCCGCCUGGGAAGUACGGCCGCAAGGCUGAAACUUAAAGGAAUUGGCGGGGGAGCACCACAAGGGGUGAAGCCUGCGGUUUAAUUGGAGUCAACGCCGGGAAACUUACCGGGGAAGACAGCAGGAUGAAGGUCAGAUUGAAGGUCUUACUGGACAAGCUGAGAGGAGGUGCAUGGCCGUCGCCAGUUCGUGCCGUGAGGUGUCCUGUUAAGUCAGGCAACGAACGAGACCCUCACCCUUAGUUGCCAGCGGACCCCUACGGGGUGCCGGGCACACCAAGGGGACUGCCAUCGACAAGAUGGAGGAAGGAGGGGGCCACGGCAGGUCAGCAUGCCCCGAAUUCCCCGGGCCACACGCGGGCUGCAAUGGUGGGGACAGUGGGCUCCAACCCCGAAAGGGGAAGGUAAUCCCGAAACCCCGCCUCAGUUGGGAUCGAGGGCUGAAACCCGCCCUCGUGAA
Molecule: ribosomal RNA, 740 nt
Filed under: uncultured crenarchaeote
Lineage: Archaea; Thermoproteati; Thermoproteota
Description: bacterial SSU rRNA
Rfam family: Archaeal small subunit ribosomal RNA
Source: RNAcentral